CGCGUAGGCGGUUUGUUAAGUUGGAUGUGAAAGCCCCGGGCUCAACCUGGGAAUUGCACCCGAUACUGGCCGACUAGAGUACGAGAGAGGGAGGUAGAAUCCCACGUGUAGCGGUGAAAUGCGUAGAUAUGUGGAGGAAUACCGGUGGCGAAGGCGGCCUCCUGGCUCGAUACUGACGCUGAGGUGCGAAAGCGUGGGGAGCAAACA
Molecule: ribosomal RNA, 207 nt
Filed under: uncultured bacterium
Lineage: Bacteria
Description: partial 16S ribosomal RNA
Rfam family: Bacterial small subunit ribosomal RNA
Source: RNAcentral